This 427-nucleotide ribosomal RNA is filed under the name uncultured bacterium. RNAcentral's name for it is "bacterial SSU rRNA". It matches the Rfam family "Bacterial small subunit ribosomal RNA", at positions 355 to 775 of the family's 1533-position model. The record is from RNAcentral.
UCGAGAAUUUUUCUCAAUGGGCGAAAGCCUGAAGGAGCGACGCCGCGUGGGGGAUGAAGGGCUUCGGUCCGUAAACCCCUGUCAUUUGCGAACAAACCUUACGAUUAAAUAGAUCGUGAGCUGAUUGUAGCGGAAGAGGAAGGGACGGCUAACUCUGUGCCAGCAGCCGCGGUAAUACAGAGGUCCCAAGCGUUGUUCGGAUUCACUGGGCGUAAAGGGUGCGUAGGUGGUUGGGUAAGUCUGAUGUGAAAUCUCCGGGCUCAACCCGGAAAUGGCAUUGGAUACUAUUCGGCUAGAGGUUUGGAGGGGGGACUGGAAUUCUCGGUGUAGCAGUGAAAUGCGUAGAUAUCGAGAGGAACACCAGUGGCGAAGGCGAGUCCCUGGACAACACCUGACACUGAGGCACGAAAGCUAGGGGAGCAAACAG